UUGAAGUCAGGCCACUUGUGCCACGGCUUGAGCAAACCG
RNAcentral lists this long non-coding RNA (39 nucleotides) under dengue virus type 4. RNAcentral describes it as "Dengue virus 4 partial sfRNA2". The record is from RNAcentral. Lineage: Riboviria; Orthornavirae; Kitrinoviricota; Flasuviricetes; Amarillovirales; Flaviviridae.